This 235-nucleotide long non-coding RNA is filed under the name Rosa chinensis. RNAcentral's name for it is "sRNA RchiOBHm_Chr2g0150481". The record is from RNAcentral. Lineage: Eukaryota; Viridiplantae; Streptophyta; Magnoliopsida; Rosales; Rosaceae.
UCUCUCGCUCGAAACCCUUCCCAGGCCCGCAGACCCGCCGACCCGACCCGGACGAAAAUUCCCCUUCCGGCCUCCUCCGGCCCCGGACCCGGACUCCCCUGGGAUCGCCGGCCCACGACGAGCCUCCCUCUGGUGUUUCCUUGCCUCACCGCUGCCCCGAAAGCCGGAUCGAAGUCACCCAGACUCCGAUCGGUGACCCGGCCGGAUUUCUAGUUUUCCGGCGUCCCCUCGGCCG